GGAGUCCAGCGUGCGCGCGAGUCAAUGGGCUUAAUACUAAACCUAAAGGCGUAAUGAAAGUGAAGGCGCGCUCUGCGCGCGCUUAGGGAAGAUGGGCGAGUCACGCUCGCCUCGCAUUCCCGGGGCGUCCCUUUUUCGUUUACGAAAAUGGGCGCACCUAGAGCGUGCGCGCUGGGACCCGAAAGAUGGUGAACUAUGCCUGGUCAGGACGAAGUCAGGGGAAACCCUGAUGGAGGUCCGUAGCGAUUCUGACGUGCAAAUCGAUCGUCGGAACUGGGUAUAGGGGCGAAAGACUAAUCGAACCAUCUAGUAGCUGGUUCCUUCCGAAGUUUCCCUCAGGAUAGCUGGCGCACACAUGCGAGUUUCAUCCGGUAAAGCGAAUGAUUAGAGGCAUUGGGGACGAAACGUCCUCAACCUAUUCUCAAACUUUAAAUGGGUGAGAACUUCGGCUUUCUUAAAUUUUUAAUUUUGAAGCCGCAAGUAUCGAAUCCGUGUGCCAAGUGGGCCAUUUUUGGUAAGCAGAACUGGCGUUGUGGGAUGAACCAAACGUAGAGUUAAAGCGCCCAAGUGGACGCUUAUUAGAUACCAUGAAAGGCGUUGGUAACUUAAGACAGCAGGACGGUGGCCAUGGAA
This 633-nucleotide ribosomal RNA is filed under the name Cantharidae sp. UPOL 001391. Its description in RNAcentral is "eukaryotic LSU rRNA". It matches the Rfam family "Eukaryotic large subunit ribosomal RNA", at positions 670 to 1259 of the family's 3401-position model. Lineage: Eukaryota; Metazoa; Arthropoda; Insecta; Coleoptera; Cantharidae. The record is from RNAcentral.